CUCUUACACCUUUGUUCUCUCACCUCUCACUCACUUCUCUCACUCCUCUCUUCCCCCUCCUUUCUCUGUCUUCUCCUCUCUCUCUCCUCACUCUCUCUCUCUCUCUCUCUCUCUCUCUCUCUCUCUGUCUCUCUGUCUCUGUCUCUCUCUCUCUCUCUCUCUCUCACUCUUUCUACCUUCUCUCUUUCUCCCUGCAUUUCUAUAAUAAAUCUCUUAAACCAUACAGAUUCUCUGCUCCAUCAAUACCCGCUGGGCACCCUGCCCAGAACCCAGUGAAUGAAAUAAUGCUCCCAUAACAUGAUUUCCUGGGACUCAUUCAUUCCCGAAGUUCUUCGCUAUAGCAGAGUCAAUAUCAGCAGGGAAGGAUGUGAUUGACCAAGCCACUCCUCUGGAUCUGCUGAACAGCUCCCAUCAGAGCAGUGUGAUCUCAAACUCAAACCCUUUUGCCAUUCUUUCUUGUUUUGUCCUUUCUCUUCCUCACCUCAAGUUACUGAGUCUUUUUUAUGCAUUAAUAAAAUCUAAAGGAAAGUC
Long non-coding RNA from Mus musculus (house mouse), 531 nucleotides. RefSeq annotates it as predicted gene, 36766. The record is from RefSeq and is marked validated. NCBI's taxonomy places the organism in Eukaryota, Metazoa, Chordata, Mammalia, Rodentia, Muridae. The transcript has 3 exons.